This 1333-nucleotide ribosomal RNA is filed under the name Salmonella enterica. RNAcentral's name for it is "partial 23S ribosomal RNA". It matches the Rfam family "Bacterial large subunit ribosomal RNA", at positions 1589 to 2898 of the family's 2925-position model. Lineage: Bacteria; Pseudomonadati; Pseudomonadota; Gammaproteobacteria; Enterobacterales; Enterobacteriaceae. The record is from RNAcentral. RNAcentral also lists the same sequence under 1 other name.
AGCAACAAAUGCCCUGCUUCCAGGAAAAGCCUCUAAGCAUCAGGUAACAUCAAAUCGUACCCCAAACCGACACAGGUGGUCAGGUAGAGAAUACCAAGGCGCUUGAGAGAACUCGGGUGAAGGAACUAGGCAAAAUGGUGCCGUAACUUCGGGAGAAGGCACGCUGACACGUAGGUGAAGUGAUUUACUCAUGGAGCUGAAGUCAGUCGAAGAUACCAGCUGGCUGCAACUGUUUAUUAAAAACACAGCACUGUGCAAACACGAAAGUGGACGUAUACGGUGUGACGCCUGCCCGGUGCCGGAAGGUUAAUUGAUGGGGUCAGCGCAAGCGAAGCUCCUGAUCGAAGCCCCGGUAAACGGCGGCCGUAACUAUAACGGUCCUAAGGUAGCGAAAUUCCUUGUCGGGUAAGUUCCGACCUGCACGAAUGGCGUAAUGAUGGCCAGGCUGUCUCCACCCGAGACUCAGUGAAAUUGAACUCGCUGUGAAGAUGCAGUGUACCCGCGGCAAGACGGAAAGACCCCGUGAACCUUUACUAUAGCUUGACACUGAACAUUGAGCCUUGAUGUGUAGGAUAGGUGGGAGGCUUUGAAGUGUGGACGCCAGUCUGCAUGGAGCCGACCUUGAAAUACCACCCUUUAAUGUUUGAUGUUCUAACGUGGACCCGUUACCCGGGUUGCGGACAGUGUCUGGUGGGUAGUUUGACUGGGGCGGUCUCCUCCUAAAGAGUAACGGAGGAGCACGAAGGUUGGCUAAUCCUGGUCGGACAUCAGGAGGUUAGUGCAAUGGCAUAAGCCAGCUUGACUGCGAGCGUGACGGCGCGAGCAGGUGCGAAAGCAGGUCAUAGUGAUCCGGUGGUUCUGAAUGGAAGGGCCAUCGCUCAACGGAUAAAAGGUACUCCGGGGAUAACAGGCUGAUACCGCCCAAGAGUUCAUAUCGACGGCGGUGUUUGGCACCUCGAUGUCGGCUCAUCACAUCCUGGGGCUGAAGUAGGUCCCAAGGGUAUGGCUGUUCGCCAUUUAAAGUGGUACGCGAGCUGGGUUUAGAACGUCGUGAGACAGUUCGGUCCCUAUCUGCCGUGGGCGCUGGAGAACUGAGGGGGGCUGCUCCUAGUACGAGAGGACCGGAGUGGACGCAUCACUGGUGUUCGGGUUGUCAUGCCAAUGGCACUGCCCGGUAGCUAAAUGCGGAAGAGAUAAGUGCUGAAAGCAUCUAAGCACGAAACUUGCCCCGAGAUGAGUUCUCCCUGAGACUUAAAGUCUCCUGAAGGAACGUUGAAGACGACGACGUUGAUAGGCCGGGUGUGUAAGCGCAGCGAUGCGUUGAGCUAACCGG